This 253-nucleotide ribosomal RNA is filed under the name uncultured bacterium. Its description in RNAcentral is "partial 16S ribosomal RNA". It matches the Rfam family "Bacterial small subunit ribosomal RNA", at positions 524 to 776 of the family's 1533-position model. The record is from RNAcentral.
UACAUGUGGGGCAAGCGUUGUUCGGAAUUACUGGGCAUAAAGGGCGCGUAGGCGGUACUUCAAGUCAGGCGUGAAAGCCCCGGGCUCAACCUGGGAACCGCGCUUGAGACUGGAGAACUAGAGUUCGGGAGAGGAUGGUGGAAUUCCCAGUGUAGAGGUGAAAUUCGUAGAUAUUGGGAAGAACACCGAUGGCGAAGGCAGCCAUCUGGACCGACACUGACGCUGAGGCGCGAAAGCGUGGGGAGCAAACAGG